This is an RNA transcript of Sinocyclocheilus anshuiensis, 4519 nucleotides long. It is a transcript of the gene named insulin-like growth factor-binding protein 2-B, with no coding region annotated. The transcript has 5 exons. The record is from RefSeq and is a predicted model, not a curated record. Lineage: Eukaryota; Metazoa; Chordata; Actinopteri; Cypriniformes; Cyprinidae.
CGGAGCUACAUAAGGUCAAUAGCGCGAGAGAAACUAUUGUUCGCGCCGAAAACUGAUAGAAAAUCGCAGUCAAGUCAAUGGAUAAUAAUUGCUUUUAUUAUUAUUAUAAAAAUAAACGUAAUUUAAAUUUUUUUAUUUUUUUUUUGAAACUGUUACUAUAUUAAUUUAAACUUAAGAAACAUAACAGUACUGGCAACCAUAACAAACACACAAGCUAACAAACAUGUUAUUUUUCCAAAACAGGCAGCGUAUCUCUCGCAGAUGAAAUAGCCAACAGUCGCACCUUUUCGACUUAUUUAUCUGUUUUUUUGACUUUGACUAGCUUUUGACGUGAUGUAAUUUCGGAGUAACAUGACAGCAAAUAGGACCCAGCAGAGCUCUCCGGCGAACCUCACCUGUCCCCAAACGCACUUUUACUUUUCCACCUGAAGUCGCCUGCAGAAUCCCGACAUCUGUCAGACUUAAAGAUAACGGCAUGUUUCCUGCAUUGCUCUGCAGUUUGUUGCUCCUGCACGGCUCUUUCGGGGAGGUCGUGUUCCGCUGCCCGAGCUGCACCGCGGAGCGCCAGGCGGCGUGUCCCAAGCUCACCACAUCUUGCGAGAUUGUCAGGGAACCGGGUUGCGGUUGCUGCCCGGUUUGUGCCCGGCAGAAGGGCGAGCUGUGCGGAGUCUACACGCCGAGAUGUGGCAGCGGUUUGAGGUGUUACCCAAGCGCGAAUUCAGAGUUACCGCUGGAGCAGCUGAUACAGGGAUUCGGACGAUGCGAGAACAAAGUGGACCUGGAGCCCACCAUGGCCAACCAGGAGUCAGGACACAGUGGAGAAGUAAAUGGCACACGGUCCCCUCCAGUAAAGAAGCCUGGCAAAGAAAACAACUACCAGUACAUUAAGGAAACAGCAGUGAAGCAGCAUCUCAACAACAAGAGGACCAGGAUGUACAGCUCCCUGGAUGAUCCCAAAACACCUCACCCCAGACAGAGCCAGUGUCAACAGGAGCUGGAUAGAGUGUUGGAGAACAUCUCCCGAAUGAUGUUCCAUGACAACAAGGGACCUUUGGAAAAUCUUUAUGACCUGAAGUUCCCCAACUGUGACAAGACAGGACAGUACAACCUUAAGCAGUGCAACAUGUCCAGCCAUGGACAGAGGGGCGAGUGUUGGUGCGUCAACCCCUACACUGGUGUCCAGAUACCCUCGUCCCCCAAAGUGAGGGGGGACCCUAACUGCAGCCAGUACUAUGGUGGUCCUGAGCUGGAACCGCCCACCACCCAGCAGAAAUAGACGCACCCUUGCCCAUAAGGGAGAUGCCCCGGGUCGUAAAUGAGGAGAGUUAAAGCGAGUGCAAGAGCGAUGUGCAUGUGUGUAAUUCUGUACGUGUAUGUGUAUGUAUAUUUUCGCAAUAGUAUGAUCUGUAUUGUCGAUAGGAGUGUGGAAAGUAACAUGCCAGCACAGACAAGCAAGUCAAGGACAGGCUCGUCUGGUGCCUUUUAAUCUUGUGACUGAAUCUGGUUGCAGGGAGUCUCUUAUACAGCAUUUGCAGCUGUUCGCUGUGAAGAUGUGUCCCUUUAAAUCUCCCUUUUGUCUAUGGAUACCCAAUAAAAACGGUGGUGCUUUUUUUUUUUUUUGCAACAUUGGUUGCCAGAAACAAACAACAACUGCAAAUGCACAACAGCAGAAGCUUGACAUUGAUUUAAAAGUGAAUCCCAAAUUUUGAAACCAAAAAUUGUGAUAGAGAAAACAGAGAGGUCAUUUUUGGCUGAUUUGAGAGGAUCUGUGCAAGAGGGGCUGGAGAUGUGCUUUUUGGCUAUUUUGACUACUUAAGUACCUGAUAGAUAAAUCAACCAUGAGUACACAAGUGUUUGUAGAUGUGCAUCAAACUGGCAUCGUUUCCGCAUAAGUGUUGCAUUAUUAAGACCAUGCAUUCAAAACAUUUUCAAAAUGUGUCUCUUAACCAGUGCUUUUCUUUCCAAUCAUUUGCUUCAGGCUGAAAGUCCCCACGUACGUGAGUUGCUAUACGGUGUCACCGCAAAUUGCUGCCCCAUCUAACCAAUUGGAGUGCAAGGUACGAAAGGCCCAAAAUGUCAAACAAUCACUAAAUUAAAAACGAGGCCCCUUUUUUGACACACAUUACUGAUCUUCAUUCAGCAUAAUAUGUUUUGAAGUUCAAGUGUGUUUUUACAAUCGAUUAUUGCUGUAGCUUCCAAAUACUCAAGGUCUGGCCAUCCCUGUUCUUGGUGACUGAUAGACCUCUGUUCUCAUGCUGCUUCUCUACCAUGUGGUAGAAUGCAGGUGGUGUAUGUGUGUGUUUGUAGAGUGGAGAUCAACAUUUACUAAUGAUGUGCUGACAGAGGGCUAGAUUAGGACACAGGGCUGACAUUGACAAUGUGAUAUAAAGUGCGUUAAGUGCCUAUAAAUAAACACAGGUUUGCCUGCAGUGCCUGUGGGCUGUGCCUCACCUUGCUUCACUCUCAUCUGCAGAGGGAUGUGUUGGAGGUUGGCAAGGGUGAUUUUGCCCAGCGUAACACUUGAAUGGGGUUAGUUAGAGAGUCCUGUGAAGGAAUGUGAAGUGGUGCAUGGGUUUAGUGAGCUUGUUUAACCAAUUCUUAUACCAUUUUCCCCCCAGCUGAGUGAAAACAUGCAUUUUAUUCCAUGAACAGCCCAAUGCAGCAGACUUUAAACAAACAAACAAAUAAAUAAGAUCCAAUAGAAAAUUACAAACAAUAAAGUAACAUACAGUGGAAUCAAAAAUCUGAACCUGGGAUUCAAAAUCCAAUUGAAAUCUAGAAAUAAAAUAGUUUUAGGAUCCUGAACUUUUUUAAACAGGAAAAAAAAUCAGAUUCUGUAAUAUCUAGAUCACUAAUCAAUAAGUAAAUUUGUCAAGUUUGGGAUCGGUAAGAUUAUUCACAUUUUUUUGGAAACUCUUGUUUUUUCCUCAAGAUUCUUUGAUAAAUAGAAAGUUUAGAAGAACAGAAUUUAGCUGAAUUAGAAAGCUUUUGUGAUAUUAUAAAUGACUUUACUGUCACUUUUGAUAAAUUUACUGCAUCCCUGCAAAAUAAAAGUAUCAUUUUCUUUAAAAAAAUCUUACUGAUCCCAAAAUUAUGCAAACAGAUGCAAAAAAAGAAGCAUUCUAGAGUCUAAAUAGAUGUGACCAGUGGGAUUUAAUGGAUUAACUUGCUCUGUCAGCAGGUGUGAUCUGUAAUGCCCCGUUCACAUGGACACACAGCGGUUUUAUCGCUGAAGGCCACCAGAUCAAUGCACUGUUGGAUUGUACUGGGCGUUCCUACUACGCUAUGUUCUGACGUCAUUGAUGGCCUGUGUAGAUGACCACAGCUUCUGAAAAUCUGAUCAGAAAUGAGUAUCCAGGUGCUGCUCAUAAAUUUCAACUUUUUAAAAUCUGAUUCCCUUAUUUUCAGUGUAGCCUUUUGGAUGCCACUGUAUGAGACGUUAUUGUCACAUCGCUGGAAACUGACAUCACUGUCAGUUUGAACAGCAAUCAAGGGUUGUCAUUCCUUGAUUAAGUUAUAUUUUCAUUCACUACCCAUAUCUCUUACUCUUUUUACCUCUUCCCCAUCUGUCUCUCUCUUUCCCAUCCUCUCCCUCUCUGUGAGUGUUGAAUUUAACAGCUCGAUCCAGAAAUAGAAGUCGAUUAAGCUUUAACAUUGAUGCUAACGUGUUAGACAGUGUUCAGUCCAGUGUUUGCUUUUGUAGUUUAGCCUUUAUGAUAUAUUACCACAUUAACCUUCAGUAUCUUUCACAGUAUUACCACAUCUUGCUCGCCCUUAGUAGUAGCUUACAUGUAUUUACUUUAUCUAGUUAGCAUUGUGCUAACUACCACAACAGACUGGCUCUCCAAAAUCACGCAGCCUCGUGUGAUUUUGGUGCCUCACGGAUAGAUUUGCUGAGACACGGGCUACGAGUGUUCCGUUUCGGUUUAUUUCCAAAAUAGAUCGCUGACUGCCCUCCGGUGGCACAGUUAAUUUUACGGUAGCUCUAGUUUGGCCUAGUUUGAAAACAGUGCGAAACCAAUCCCUGUGGUUUUCGGGCAUAUUGAUUUGCCAGAGCGGCUCUGAUGGGAUGGAAGUGUGCACGUAUGCAUGUGUGUGUGUGUGUUUGUGUGUAUUUGUGUGAACGUUUCGAUGCUGUGCCAUGCCUGGAGCCAGUGUGACGGUGGGAAGGAUUGCUUGCCAUCUGGUGCAGUGUAAAACUGUCAGAGCCGGUCUCUGCUUUUGGAGAGUCUCACACAAAUGACAGUGGGAAUUUCUUGAGCAAAUCCAAACGCCUUGUGCCAUGCCAGCAUCUCACAUGCCUUUUUUUUCUGUAAUUCAUUGCAUAUUCUGUGUGUCACGAGAUGCGGUGGUAUUAAAUAACAUACAUUACUCAAUGCAUGCUCCGUGUGUCCACUGUCAUGCGAAUGGUGCAUGAACUGAGUUUUCUGUACAACUGCAAUGGAAAAAGCCAUAAAUGCAUGCAAAAAUAGACAUUGGUUUUAAAUUCUUGUAAUAAAAUCCAGCAUGAUUAAAAGUA